CCUACGGGCGGCAGCAGUGGGGGAUCUUGGACAAUGGGGGGAACCCUGAUCCAGCGACGCCGCGUGAGUGAAGAAGUAUCUCGGUAUGUAAAGCUCUAUCAGCAGGGAAGAAGGAAUGACGGUACCUGAGUAAGAAGCCCCGGCUAACUACGUGCCAGCAGCCGCGGUAAUACGUAGGGGGCAAGCGUUAUCCGGAUUUAUUGGGUUUAAAGGGUGCGCAGGCGGAUUUUUAAGUCAGCGGUCAAAUCGUGGGGCUCAACCCCAUCCAGCCGUUGAAACUGGGGAUCUAGAGUGUGCGAGAGGUAUGCGGAAUGCGUGGUGUAGCGGUGAAAUGCAUAGAUAUCACGCAGAACCCCGAUGGCGAAAGCAGCAUACCGGUGCACAACUGACGCUCAGGCACGAAAGCGUGGGUAUCGAACAGGAUUAGAUACCCGUGUAGUC
RNAcentral lists this ribosomal RNA (441 nucleotides) under uncultured bacterium. RNAcentral describes it as "partial 16S ribosomal RNA". It matches the Rfam family "Bacterial small subunit ribosomal RNA", at positions 338 to 795 of the family's 1533-position model. The record is from RNAcentral.